This 252-nucleotide ribosomal RNA is filed under the name uncultured bacterium. RNAcentral's name for it is "partial 16S ribosomal RNA". It matches the Rfam family "Bacterial small subunit ribosomal RNA", at positions 524 to 776 of the family's 1533-position model. The record is from RNAcentral.
UACGGGGGGGCAAGCGUUGUUCGGCAUUACUGGGCGUAAAGGGCUCGUAGGCGGCCAACUAAGUCGGACGUGAAAUCCCUCGGCUUAACCGGGGAACUGCGUCCGAUACUGGAUGGCUUGAGUUUGGGAGAGGGAUGCGGAAUUCCAGGUGUAGCGGUGAAAUGCGUAGAUAUCUGGAGGAACACCGGUGGCGAAGGCGGCAUCCUGGACCGAGAUUGACGCUGAUGCGCGAAAGCCAGGGGAGCAAACGGG